RNAcentral lists this ribosomal RNA (372 nucleotides) under uncultured organism. Its description in RNAcentral is "bacterial SSU rRNA". It matches the Rfam family "Bacterial small subunit ribosomal RNA", at positions 526 to 896 of the family's 1533-position model. The record is from RNAcentral.
CGGAAGGGGCAAGCGUUGUUCGGAAUCAUUGGGCGUAAAGGGCGUGUAGGUGGUUCUGUAUGUCUACCGUGAAAGCGUACGGCUCAACCGUAUUUAGUCGGUAGAAACUGCAGGACUUGAGGCUGGGAGGGGCUGGUGGGAUUCCCCGUGUAGCGGUGAAAUGCGUAGAGAUGGGGGAGAACACUCGUGGCGAAGGCGGCCAGCUAGACCAGUUCUGACACUGAGGCGCGACAGCGUGGGGAGCAAACAGGAUUAGAUACCCUGGUAGUCCACGCUGUAAACGAUGGGCACUAGGUGCUGGCGGUCUUGAUCCCGUCGGUGCCGGCGCUAACGCAGUAAGUGCCCCGCCUGGGGAGUACGGUCGCAAGGCUG